ACUCUGUAGGUGCCCCGGGGCACAGGCAAGCGGACGAGCCAGUUAUCCCUCAGAGCUCCUGCUGCCUCGCCCGCUUUCUCUCGGAAACGUGAAGUGUGGCCUCAGCUGAAAGUGAGGUGGGCCUCAUUCAAUCAGUUGAAUUCUUCAAGAGAGAAAAACUGAAGUCCCUUAGAAGGAAAGAGUUCUGCCUUCAGACUGUCUUUGAACUUAAGACUGUAGCGUCGACUCCUGCCGGAAUUUCCAGCCUGCUGGCCAGCUCUGCAGAUUCACACUUGCCAGCCUCCACAAUCGCAGCUGAGGCGGAGGAACCCUAAGGGCUCAUUGAGAUCAUGGAUUUGCCCUUCUAUGCAUUGAUGGAGCACCUGCUGCCCACAGCGUCUGUAUUUGGUGCUGGGAUGCUGAGCCUCCUUCUUUAUGAAUUUUUAAAAGGACACUGAGAUCUUCAAACAGAGGCUGCCACUCUAAGCAAACAGAUCCCGAGCCCUGGACUCUGAAGCUUGGGCCCAGUUCUCCUUUUCUCCGGGUUUCAGAUCCCACUGUGAAGUGAGGGGGCCCUUCUGAUUCAGGACCCGGGGAAGCCAGGGGCAUGAGCAUCGGUGCCUCUUCUCUAUUUCAAGGACCCUUCUGGGUGUAAAGUUCUCUGAGAUGCCUUACAUGGAUUCCCACCACUGCAAGAUAACCAUCGUAUGUAAAGUGUUAUGACCAGCAGAGCGUAAUUGAAGUGCAUUCCAGAGGGAAAGACAGCGGCUCAGAUGAGGCUUCAGGCUUGACCAAAUCUGACUGGCUGGCUGCCGGAGACACUGCUACCCAUCGGCCCUUAAUAAAUGGCCUCAUUUGAUCAUCAUGUGAUCUUCAGAAGCUGGGCUUGAUUAUCCUUGCCAAACAAAAUGCUGAAACCAAAAAUCUGAAAGGUCAAUGGCCUGCCAGCCUGCCUGUGUCUGUCAGUGUGCUGUUCUGCUGGGGCCCUCUCCACAUCCAGCUGCUGUGUCGUCUUCCACUGAUGCGUUCCUCUUGACAUCCAGCCGCAUGUGCAUGUGUGUCCGAUGGGGCCUCGGGGUUUUUAUAGGCAUAGGAUGGGGGUGUGGUGGGCCAGGGUGGUCUUGGGAAAUGCAACAUUUGGGCGGGAAAACAGAAAUGCCUGUCCUCACCUAGGCCCAUGGGCACAGGCCCUGGGAUGAAGCCCUAGCCAGGGACCACACCUUCCUCUACCCAGCACGUCCCUGUCCCCCUUCCAUAUCACUGUGGUAAAAUCCAGUUUUUUUCACCUUAGAUUUUGUACAUUUGAGGUAUGACAUAAAGUGCAUAUUCAGUUCAAGAUAAAAAGUUUUCUCCAAUAGUCUCCUAUUAGCUUUAUUUUUAUGCCUUUUCAUUUGAGUUUUUAAUCAAUCUAGAGAUCAUUUUACUUAGGAUGUAAGGAAGAGUUCCAAUUUUAGUUUUACCCAUCAGGCAAGCCAGUGGUACCCAAAGCCAUGUAUUAAAAAAGUCUAUUCCUGUCUCACUGAUGUGUGUCACUUCUGUCAUAAAACAGAUCCUUAAACACACAUGGGUUUGGUGUUGAGCUUUCUGUUUUGUUCCACUUAUGAAUUUAAUAUUUCUGUACCAAAACUGCACUUUUUUUUAAGUAGUAUUUUGUGGAAUUUUUUCAUAUCUUGUAGGUCAGGUCCCUUUUAUUCUCUUUUUCUGAAAUUGUUUAUUUUUUAAAGAAUUUUAUUUUUUCAUGUAAAUGUCAGAAUAAGAUUGUUGAAGUCUUCAAAAAUCGCUCCUAAAAUUUUUUUUUUUUAAUCAGAAUCUCAUUUAAGUAUGGCUUUUGUGGAGAACUGCCAUUUCUUCAAAUGUUAAACUAGUCCAUUAUGGGAUAUGGUAUAUUUUCUCUUUAUUCUAAUCUUUCUUUAUAUCCUUUAAUGAAUUUUAAAACUUUCUCUAUAAAGAAUCAUGAAUUCUUUGUUAGAUUUAUUCUUAGAUAUAUUUAAGUUUUUCUUGUUAUUGUAAAUGUUAUAUUGUUUUAUUAUUAUAUGUUUUAGUUAGAAAUUACCAGUGUGAGGAAACAUCAUGGUAUGGUUGAAAUCACACCUCUUAAUUUUUGUAGAACUCUUAAUUCCAAUAUUGCGUGCAUUGAUUCUGAUGCAUUUUCUAUUUAGGUGAUCAUGCCAUCUGCAAAUAAGGAUAGCCUUGACUUGUCUUAAUAUAUUCUUCUACCUCUUGUUGAUCUUUCUCUUGAUGAGUCCAUUGGACAGCUUUACCAGUAGCAAUAAGAUUGCGUUUUUCUUGUUUCCAGUCUUAAAGGAGCCAUGCCUCAAGUCCAUCCUCUGAAUAUGGUAUUCGUCAAAGACAAGCAUAGUUAUUUAUCAGAUAAAGAACAUUCUCCUUUAGUUACAGUAUUCUGGGAAUACUGUAUGUAAUAAUAAUAAUGUAAAUAAUUUUAUUUAAAAACAAGUUGGAUAUUUACAAGUGCAUUUUUUUUUGCUUCUACUGACCUAGUCAAUAUUUUUUCUUUCUUCAUCUUAGUAUCUUAAAGUGGUGAAUUA
RNAcentral lists this long non-coding RNA (2525 nucleotides) under Homo sapiens (human). RNAcentral describes it as "non-protein coding lnc-TBC1D22A-4:17". Lineage: Eukaryota; Metazoa; Chordata; Mammalia; Primates; Hominidae. The record is from RNAcentral.